UACGUAGGGCGCAAGCGUUGUCCGGAAUUAUUGGGCGUAAAGAGCUCGUAGGCGGUUUGUCGCGUCUGUCGUGAAAGCUUGGGGCUUAACCCCAAGUCUGCGGUGGAUACGGGCAGACUAGAGGCAGGUAGGGGAGAACGGAAUUCCCGGUGUAGCGGUGAAAUGCGCAGAUAUCGGGAGGAACACCGGUGGCGAAGGCGGUUCUCUGGGCCUGUACUGACGCUGAGGAGCGAAAGCGUGGGGAGCGAACAGG
RNAcentral lists this ribosomal RNA (253 nucleotides) under uncultured bacterium. Its description in RNAcentral is "partial 16S ribosomal RNA". It matches the Rfam family "Bacterial small subunit ribosomal RNA", at positions 524 to 776 of the family's 1533-position model. The record is from RNAcentral.